Molecule: ribosomal RNA, 443 nt
Filed under: uncultured bacterium
Lineage: Bacteria
Description: partial 16S ribosomal RNA
Rfam family: Bacterial small subunit ribosomal RNA
Source: RNAcentral
CCUACGGGUGGCAGCAGUGGGGAAUAUUGGGCAAUGGGCGCAAGCCUGACCCAGCAACGCCGCGUGAAGGAAGAAGGCUCUCGGGUUGUAAACUUCUUUUCUCAGGGACGAAGAAAGUGACGGUACCUGAGGAAUAAGCCACGGCUAACUACGGGCCAGCAGCCGCGGUUAUACGUAGGUGGCAAGCGUUAUCCGGAUUUAAUGGGUGUAAAGGGCGUGUAGGCGGGAGCGCAAGUCAGAUGGGAAAACUCAGGGCUCAACCCUGGGCCUGCAUUUGAAACUGUGUUUCUUGAGUGCUGGAGAGGCAGGCGGAAUUCGGGGUGUAGCGGUGAAAUGCGUAGAUAUACGGAGGAACACCAGUGGCGAAGGCAGAUUGCUGGAGAGUAACUGACGCUGAGGCGCGAAAGCGUGGGGAGCAAACAGGAUUAGAUACCCUGGUAGUC